Long non-coding RNA from Larimichthys crocea (large yellow croaker), 1100 nucleotides. RefSeq lists it as uncharacterized. The transcript has 3 exons. The record is from RefSeq and is a predicted model, not a curated record. NCBI's taxonomy places the organism in Eukaryota, Metazoa, Chordata, Actinopteri, Sciaenidae.
AGAUGAACUAUCACUCUGAGAGUUUUUGUAUUUCCCUUAAUUCUACUGCAGGAAGGAGGCGUUCAAUGCCACGGGGAUGUGUCGGAAUUAUGAGUUACACUCAAGAGAAACACGGCUGGUCAACAUUAACCUGCAUGUCUUUGGACGAUGGGAGAGAGCUGAAGCACCUGAGGAGAACUCACAGACACAAGGAGAACAUGCAAACUCCAAACAGAAAGGCCACAGCCAAGGCACUGGAAGACCCCUGAAUGCACCACAGAGGAAGACCUUUCCAGCCAGUUCCUGCCCGCAACUAAAUCAACUUUGUCCACCAAUAAAAGCAGCUCUGCUCCGUCAUUUCAAGUCUCUGCGGGUUCAUUUUCUGCACACAAUGAACUGAAAUCAGAGGUAGAAAAUGAAUUUAAAUCUUUGGUGUAUGGUCCUUUAAAUCGGAGGUUAAUCGCAGCACAAAAGUGAGGAAAAGAUGAGGUGGAUUUGUGAGUUUUGGGGUAAGAAAAUAAGUUGUUUACUGUCCAAUCAGCACCAUGGACAUUAGGCUCAAUGGAUGGAGGCAGCUAUAGGGGAGGAAACGAGGGAGGGAGGGGGAGGAAGAGCGAGGAGGAAACGCCAGUGGAGGGAGUGUGACAAGAGUAGUGAUGGAGGGAUGGGGAGGAGGCGAGCGGAGGGGAGGGGGUGCUCUCUAAAUCUGUUGGAGGAGGAAGUCUGGAGGAAAGGAUUAGGGAAGACAGAGAGGGGAGUGUCUAUAACCUGACCACCCUGUUUCUCCCUGCAUCAGCCCAUUCAAGCGUUAUUAUUCACAUACACAGCAGACCCCCCCCUCUCUCCCUUUACACUAUUAUCCUGACGCAGCCCCCCCCAAACCCGGGUGUCAAGGUCUCAUUGAGAAAGCUCCUGACAGAUGUGAUGAUACAGUCUGCGCAAAUAUUUCCUCUGUCCUUCAGCUGCUCAGGUUCAGAGGAAACAGACCGUGCAAACAUUCACAUAAAAAAAAAAAAAAAAAAAAGAGAGAGACACACACACAAAACUCACAAAGCUCAUCACUGAGAGUUUAAAGUCUUUUUGGUUUGUGCUGUGCUGUGAUGUGAUGGAGCACUGCAGCU